This 468-nucleotide ribosomal RNA is filed under the name uncultured bacterium. RNAcentral's name for it is "partial 16S ribosomal RNA". It matches the Rfam family "Bacterial small subunit ribosomal RNA", at positions 28 to 507 of the family's 1533-position model. The record is from RNAcentral.
GACGAACGCUGGCGGCGUGCCUAACACAUGCAAGUCGAACGGAAAGGCCCUGCUUUUGUGGGGUGCUCGAGUGGCGAACGGGUGAGUAACACGUGAGUAACCUGCCCUUGACUUUGGGAUAACUUCAGGAAACCGGGGCUAAUACCGGAUAGGAGCUCCUGCUGCAUGGUGGGGGUUGGAAAGGUUCGGCGGUUGGGGAUGGACUCGCGGCUUAUCAGCUUGUUGGUGGGGUAGUGGCUUACCAAGGCUUUGACGGGUAGCCGGCCUGAGAGGGUGACCGGCCACAUUGGGACUGAGAUACGGCCCAGACUCCUACGGGAGGCAGCAGUGGGGAAUAUUGCACAAUGGGCGGAAGCCUGAUGCAGCAACGCCGCGUGCGGGAUGACGGCCUUCGGGUUGUAAACCGCUUUCGCCUGUGACGAAGCGUGAGUGACGGUAAUGGGUAAAGAAGCACCGGCUAACUACGUG